UCUUGGUAGAACUUCUUCUUGGCAUAUCCCUCAAGAUCAAGUGGCUCUCUUCCACAAGCUAAGUAGUUCACCAAAUCAGCAUACCAAUGCCCUUUCUCUUCAGUUGCCUUCACUUCUUCAAGCUUCUUUCCAGUUUCACAAACUGCUACCACCGCUCCAAUUGCCAUGAUCUGCUCUUCUGGAAGCCCUUCAUCAAUAGGGA
RNAcentral lists this long non-coding RNA (202 nucleotides) under Brassica napus (rape). RNAcentral describes it as "long non-coding RNA (BNAP_LNC020645)". The record is from RNAcentral. Lineage: Eukaryota; Viridiplantae; Streptophyta; Magnoliopsida; Brassicales; Brassicaceae.